UACGAAGGGGGCUAGCGUUGCUCGGAAUUACUGGGCGUAAAGCGCACGUAGGCGGAUUGUUAAGUCGGGGGUGAAAUCCUGGAGCUCAACUCCAGAACUGCCUUUGAUACUGGGAAUCUCGAGUCCGGGAGAGGUGAGUGGAACUGCGAGUGUAGAGGUGAAAUUCGUAGAUAUUCGCAAGAACACCAGUGGCGAAGGCGGCUCGCUGGCCCGGUACUGACGCUGAGGUGCGAAAGCGUGGGGAGCAAACAGG
Molecule: ribosomal RNA, 253 nt
Filed under: uncultured bacterium
Lineage: Bacteria
Description: partial 16S ribosomal RNA
Rfam family: Bacterial small subunit ribosomal RNA
Source: RNAcentral